UGGGGAAUUUUGGACAAUGGGGGAAACCCUGAUCCAGCCAUCCCGCGUGUGCGAUGAAGGCCUUCGGGUUGUAAAGCACUUUUGGCAGGAAAGAAACGUCAUGGGUUAAUACCCCGUGAAACUGACGGUACCUGCAGAAUAAGCACCGGCUAACUACGUGCCAGCAGCCGCGGUAAUACGUAGGGUGCAAGCGUUAAUCGGAAUUACUGGGCGUAAUGCGUGCGCAGGCGGUUCGGAAAGAAAGAUGUGAAAUCCCAGUGCUCAACGUUGGAACUGCGUUAUUACCUACCGGGCUAGCGUGUGUCAGAGGGGGGUGGAAUUCCGCGUGUAGCAGUGAAAUACGUCGAUAUGCGGAGGAACACCGAUGGCAAAGGCAGCCUCCUGAGAUAACACUGACGCUCAUGCACGAAAGCGUGGGGAGCAAACAGG
This 429-nucleotide ribosomal RNA is filed under the name Acidobacteriota bacterium. RNAcentral describes it as "Acidobacteria bacterium partial 16S ribosomal RNA". It matches the Rfam family "Bacterial small subunit ribosomal RNA", at positions 355 to 776 of the family's 1533-position model. The record is from RNAcentral. Lineage: Bacteria; Pseudomonadati; Acidobacteriota.